Molecule: long non-coding RNA, 217 nt
Filed under: Gossypium barbadense (sea-island cotton)
Lineage: Eukaryota; Viridiplantae; Streptophyta; Magnoliopsida; Malvales; Malvaceae
Description: long non-coding RNA (GBAR_LNC004306)
Source: RNAcentral
UUUGGUAUGUUUAAACUUUUAAAGUUUAUGUUUGGUUGGUGAACCUUAACACCUCAUUAAGUUGUGUCUUUUCGGUCACUUGUAAGUGUUUGUAAAUGAGGUUCUUUUGGUAUGUUUUAAUGGCUUGCAAAUGGUCAUAUGUGAUAUAUUUUGGUACAAAUUUGAGCUAGGCUGUUAUGCAUAAAAUGAGGCAAUAUUGGCAUGUUUUGGUAAUUAA